Molecule: ribosomal RNA, 451 nt
Filed under: uncultured bacterium
Lineage: Bacteria
Description: partial 16S ribosomal RNA
Rfam family: Bacterial small subunit ribosomal RNA
Source: RNAcentral
AACGAACGCUGGCGGCAGGCUUAACACAUGCAAGUCGAACGGGUGCAGCAAUGCAUCAGUGGCAGACGGGUGAGUAACACGUGGGAACCUUCCUAGGGGUACGGAACAACUCAGGGAGACUUGAGCUAAUACCGUAUACGUCCGUGAGGAGAAAGAUUUAUCGCCCUUAGACGGGCCCGCGUCGGAUUAGCUAGUUGGUGGGGUAACGGCCUACCAAGGCGACGAUCCGUAGCUGAUCUUAGAGGAUGAUCAGCCACACUGGGACUGAGACACGGCCCAGACUCCUACGGGAGGCAGCAGUGGGGAAUCUUGGACAAUGGGCGCAAGCCUGAUCCAGCCAUGCCGCGUGAGUGAAGAAGGUCUUCGGAUUGUAAAGCUCUUUUGCCAGGGACGACAAUGACGGUACCUGGAGAAUAAGCCCCGGCAAACUUCGUGCCAGCAGCCGCCGUAA